Lonchura striata (white-rumped munia) is the source of this 576-nucleotide long non-coding RNA. RefSeq lists it as uncharacterized. NCBI's taxonomy places the organism in Eukaryota, Metazoa, Chordata, Aves, Passeriformes, Estrildidae. The record is from RefSeq and is a predicted model, not a curated record.
UGUCCUGGCAUGGUACCAGAAACCAGCAGCCUGGCUUCCUGUAUGAAGGAUGAAAAGGAGAAAAUAUUUCUAACAGCUACCCAGAGUAUUCACAUAAGGUGUCUCUGGCUAUCUAUGCAACGGUGAAGAAGUUCCUCUGAAAAACUAUAUAUUGCUGGUACAUCCUGAGAAGUAAACCCAUUGCAGAUGGAUUUGCUGUAGAAAUUGUUCUGCAUCGAUGACCUGUUUCAGUACAGAAAUUUAAAGAUGUACGAACCAUAGCUGCCUGCACCUUCUCAGGGACAGGCAGCUGCUUGGCAUUUGCUCUGGAAGGGGAAUGGACUUGCCUGUGAGUUCAUGCAGUGACCUGUCUGGCAGGGCCCCGAGUCAGUUAAACACCGGGAGAUGGGAAAGUAGAAUGCCCUCCAUCUGGAAAUUUACAGAAGCCAACAGAAGACAAAUUAGUAACCCUGGGAAGACAGAAAGACUGCCUGCAGCAACAUGACUUAAAUGUUUUGGCAUUCCUUUGUUUUCAUUUAGUAUUUAUUUGGGUGCAGUUGUUACUGCUUGCUGGGACAUGAAAUGCUUUGUCAGCUC